ACGCAUACAGAAGUAAGCCCAUGUGAAGACACAGUGAGAAGGUGGCCAUCUGCAAGCCAGAAGAGAGCCCUCACAGGGAACUGAAUCAGCCAGCACCUUGAUGAUGGACUUCUAGCCUUUAGAAUUAACGUAGAGAGUAAAGAAUGAAGGUCGUCCUCUUCCCUUGAUCCAACUCCAUCCUCAACAGUUAGCCACUGUCAUCUGCAGCUGGGUACACAUUCUGUCAGAGACUUUUCUGCUUGUACACACAGAAGGCCACAGGACAGACCUGGGAACUCCUAGAUCCCCUGGCGGCUGCCCUGACCACUGAUCUCCUGGGGGCCUGAUUUCUGGAUCUGCCCGGAGAAAGAUUUACCACAGCUGCUCAAGGAAGAUGGAACCAGAACAAGAAAUUUUCCACUUGAACUUAUGGAAACAGUAAACUCAUUCAGGUACAAUCAAGAAAAAACCAAUCAAAAUAAGAGAUGAAGUCCCAUUUAGGAUGAAACCAGCUGAUAGAGGAAUGUUGGCAGCCUUCACACAUGCUUCAUGCCCUGAGCCCAAUGGGGGAAGAGUGAUGUCCGCUUCCACUGUUUUCAGCAUCCCUUGGAUGAUCCAGCUUCUGGAUAGGCACCUAUCAACCCACCACCAUGGUUCUCUGAUUUGCAAAAUAUCAACCCAAUAGGACUGUGAUUAAAAUCAAUGAGGCACUCCAGUCUAAUCAUGAGAAAAACAUCAGAAAAAUUCCAAUGGAAGGGCAUUCUACAAAAUGCCUGAUCUGUCUGUUCCUCAAAACUGUCAAGGUCAUCAAAAACAAGGAAAGACUGAGAAACUGUCAUAGCCAAGAGAAGCCUAAGGAAAAAUGACAAGUAAAUGGUAUCCUAGAUGGUAUCCUGGAAAACAAAAUGGGCAUUGGAUAAGAACUAAGGAAAUCUGAAUAAAGUGGGGACUUUAGUUAAUAAGAAGGGAUCAAUAUUGGUUCAAUAAUUGUAACAAAUGUACCAUACUAAUGUAGACGUUAAUAAUGGGAGAAACUGGGUUCAGGGUAUAUGGGAACUCUCUGUACUGUUUCUUAAUUUUUUUGUGAAUCUAAAACUGUUCUAAAAAAUAAAGUCUAUUUCUAAAAACUCAGGUGAGGAAACACAUAUAAGGGUUCAUAGUUGGUGCUCCGUAAAUGUUACCUCUUCUCUUCUGGACACUGUGGACAUGAGAACAAACUGUUAUCCAUGUCCUCCUAUAUCUUUUCCCCCUUCCUAAUUCACCAGAGGAUUCUGGGGAAAAUGCAAGCCACCCCCGUAUUCUCAUUUGUAGGUUGCCAGGAGUAAGAAUGGUUACACUUGGUUUAAGGUUAUUUUAAUUAUGUCUAUGAGAUAGUUUCUGCUACAUGUAGAAUGAUUCUUGUUAGACCCUAUUAGGGUUCUUCUGGUCCAAAUCCCCCCAAAAUAACCUUACAAACCCUUAAACCAAUUCAAUGUGUCAGUAACUACCUAUGUAAAUUCAUUUUGGCUCCUUGCAAGAAACUUUGGUAUGUUAAAGGUAUUUUACAAUUAAGAACAAGAUCUAUAUAAAAUUUUUUUUUGUAAAUACAAUGUACAAGCUAUCCAAAUGGGUUCGUAUGCCUCGAGCAGAAAGAAUUUCUCUCUCUUUUUUCUGGCUUGGUUCUUUAGAAAAGUGUUUCUUCUUACUUCACUUUUCAGCCUCUCUUUUACUGUACCAACAACUCACGACCCAAAGAUGAAAUAAUUAAAGACUUGACUUUUUAGAAUAUAGGUGAACGUAUGGAAAAUUAAAAUCUUGUUUUUCCAAGUUAUA
This is a long non-coding RNA of Diceros bicornis minor, 1791 nucleotides long. RefSeq lists it as uncharacterized. The transcript is spliced from 7 exons. The record is from RefSeq and is a predicted model, not a curated record. NCBI's taxonomy places the organism in Eukaryota, Metazoa, Chordata, Mammalia, Perissodactyla, Rhinocerotidae.